GAUGAACGCUAGCUACAGGCUUAACACAUGCAAGUCGAGGGGCAGCAUGAUUGAAGCUUGCUUCAAUCGAUGGCGACCGGCGCACGGGUGAGUAACACGUAUCCAACCUGCCGAUAACUCGGGGAUAGCCUUUCGAAAGAAAGAUUAAUACCCGAUAGUAUAGUAUUUCCGCAUGGUUUCACUAUUAAAGAACUUCGGUUAUCGAUGGGGAUGCGUUCCAUUAGAUAGUUGGCGGGGUAACGGCCCACCAAGUCAACGAUGGAUAGGGGUUCUGAGAGGAAGGUCCCCCACAUGGGAACUGAGACACGGUCCAAACGCCUACGGGAGGAAGCAGUGAGGAAUAUUGGUAAAUGGACGAGAGUCUGAACCAGCCAAGUAGCGUGAAGGAUGACUGCCCUAUGGGUUGUAAACUUCUUUUAUACGGGAAUAAAGUGGAGUAUGCAUACUCCUUUGUAUGUACCGUAUGAAUAAGGAUCGGCUAACUCCGUG
RNAcentral lists this ribosomal RNA (489 nucleotides) under uncultured bacterium. Its description in RNAcentral is "partial 16S ribosomal RNA". It matches the Rfam family "Bacterial small subunit ribosomal RNA", at positions 28 to 507 of the family's 1533-position model. The record is from RNAcentral.